RNAcentral lists this unclassified non-coding RNA (223 nucleotides) under Hevea brasiliensis (rubber tree). The record is from RNAcentral. Lineage: Eukaryota; Viridiplantae; Streptophyta; Magnoliopsida; Malpighiales; Euphorbiaceae.
GGUCACAUUCCUUCGAUCCUUCUCUAAUGAACAUGUCACAUGUCAUAUCCCAUCUUUCAUUUGGCAUGAAUGUUUCGCCCAAGUUGAUGAAUGAGGCAAAGCGAUUGAUGCCUUAUAUUGGUAGAAGUCAUGACAAGUUGAAUGGGCGGUCAUUCAUUAAUCACCGUGAUGUGGAUGCCAAUGUUACUAUUGAGCAUUAGAGAAGGAUCGAAGGAAUGUGACC